Long non-coding RNA from Hordeum vulgare subsp. vulgare (domesticated barley), 764 nucleotides. RefSeq lists it as uncharacterized. The record is from RefSeq and is a predicted model, not a curated record. NCBI's taxonomy places the organism in Eukaryota, Viridiplantae, Streptophyta, Magnoliopsida, Poales, Poaceae. The transcript has 2 exons.
UCCCCUCAGCCACCGCCACCUGCUGUCUCCCACUUCGGGAUCCCCAGAUGCAAGCCGAGCCAACCAUCGAGCCCCUCCCGAUCCACUUGCAGCCAACCAGAUCGAGCCAUCCACCACCAUGCACGAAGCUCCCCGCCAGCCCGUGCAACCUCUCUCGCACCGAAGCCGCAGGAGCAAUCGGCUCCAUCGCUGAACCGUAGCUCAGCCCACCGUCGUUCAUGCGUUGUUGACCGCGCCCCUGCAGAAGCUUGAAGCCACGACCGAGCCUGCCCACCGCGUUAGCUCUCAGCCUCCCAUCCUCACCUAUCGGGGCCCCUGCUCCGUCGCGUUGCUGCAGGAGCGGCGAGCCAGCGCUGUUCGCCUCUGCAUCGGACAGAGCGGCUCCAAACAGCCAGCUCAGGCCCAAGGAACUGGGAAUGGCUCUGUCUGUGCUUCUAUGAGAGCUUGACACCGCACCUUGGAGGAGCCAUGGGAGCAUCGUCCUCCUUGCAUCCGGGCGGAUCCGAAGUCUCAACGCUGGACCCCGCCGUCUCUGUUGCUCCCUGGCCUCCCGCCCUGCAAGCCCCGCCGCCGCGUGCUGCAUCUAAUGGUGUGAUCGGCAUGAGUUCAACGGAAACCAAGUCUCGGCCAUCGGUUUAGUUUAAAUUGCGUAGCGCCCAUUGUUGUACACAAGUACAGUUUUGGUGAAGUGGUUAGCUCCAUUGGUUAACAUCCAGGAGUCUUGGGUUCAAAUCCCACACAAUCCUAUUUUCCUUUUUGGUCCU